UGGACAGGUUAUUGUAUUCGACUGUAUUCACGGCGUGAAUUAGGGGAAUACACUGUUUUUAAAAUGGAAAGUGAAUCAAUUAACAUAAUAGACUCCU
This is a non-coding RNA of Nicotiana sylvestris (wood tobacco), 97 nucleotides long. Lineage: Eukaryota; Viridiplantae; Streptophyta; Magnoliopsida; Solanales; Solanaceae. The record is from Rfam.